Molecule: ribosomal RNA, 785 nt
Filed under: Klebsiella pneumoniae
Lineage: Bacteria; Pseudomonadati; Pseudomonadota; Gammaproteobacteria; Enterobacterales; Enterobacteriaceae
Description: bacterial SSU rRNA
Rfam family: Bacterial small subunit ribosomal RNA
Source: RNAcentral
UGGCGGACCAUUUGACUAGACGCUCCACGGUGCGAAAGCGUAGGGGAGCAAACAGGAUUAGAUACCCUGGUAGUCCACGCCGUAAACGAUGUCGAUUUGGAGGUUGUGCCCUUGAGGCGUGGCUUCCGGAGCUAACGCGUUAAAUCGACCGCCUGGGGAGUACGGCCGCAAGGUUAAAACUCAAAUGAAUUGACGGGGGCCCGCACAAGCGGUGGAGCAUGUGGUUUAAUUCGAUGCAACGCGAAGAACCUUACCUGGUCUUGACAUCCACAGAACUUAGCAGAGAUGCUUUGGUGCCUUCGGGAACUGUGAGACAGGUGCUGCAUGGCUGUCGUCAGCUCGUGUUGUGAAAUGUUGGGUUAAGUCCCGCAACGAGCGCAACCCUUAUCCUUUGUUGCCAGCGGUCCGGCCGGGAACUCAAAGGAGACUGCCAGUGAUAAACUGGAGGAAGGUGGGGAUGACGUCAAGUCAUCAUGGCCCUUACGACCAGGGCUACACACGUGCUACAAUGGCAUAUACAAAGAGAAGCGACCUCGCGAGAGCAAGCGGACCUCAUAAAGUAUGUCGUAGUCCGGAUUGGAGUCUGCAACUCGACUCCAUGAAGUCGGAAUCGCUAGUAAUCGUAGAUCAGAAUGCUACGGUGAAUACGUUCCCGGGCCUUGUACACACCGCCCGUCACACCAUGGGAGUGGGUUGCAAAAGAAGUAUGUAGCUUAACCUUCGGGAGGGCGCUUACCACUUUGUGAUUCAUGACUGGGGUGAAGUCGUAAUGGGGUACCCUAUAC